This 332-nucleotide ribosomal RNA is filed under the name uncultured bacterium. Its description in RNAcentral is "bacterial SSU rRNA". It matches the Rfam family "Bacterial small subunit ribosomal RNA", at positions 30 to 361 of the family's 1533-position model. The record is from RNAcentral.
AUUGAACGCUGGCGGCGUGCUUAACACAUGCAAGUCGAUCGGUAACAGGCGUAGCAAUACAUGCUGACGAGAGGCGGACGGGUGAGUAAUGCUUGGGAAUCUGCCUAUUAGUGGGGGACAACCCGGGGAAACUCGGGCUAAUACCGCAUACGCUCUACGGAGGAAAGCCGGGGACCGCAAGGCCUGGCGCUAAUAGAUGAGCCCAAGUCGGAUUAGCUAGUUGGUAGGGUAACGGCUACCAAGGCGACAAUCCGUAGCUGGUCUGAGAGGACGACCAGCCACACCGGAACUGAGACACGGUCCGGACUCCUACGGGAGGCAGCAGUGGGGAA